Molecule: long non-coding RNA, 370 nt
Filed under: Bos taurus (domestic cattle)
Lineage: Eukaryota; Metazoa; Chordata; Mammalia; Artiodactyla; Bovidae
Description: long non-coding RNA NONBTAT016251
Source: RNAcentral
GAUCUGCUGUUAGCAGUUGCAAGAAGCUAUAUAUGUGAUCCCCAGCAGUCACACAGCUGCUACAUCAUUGUGGCCUGAUUACUAAUGUGUCAUUUGUGAAGGAGUGACUUGGCUUCAGAGAAAUGAUUAUCAGAACCCGCCCAUUUUUUUUUGGCCUUCCACCGCUGGGAAUGACAGCUCUUAUUUUCAUUUUUCAAUAUCUUUUCUUUAUUCUCAGUGAAGCUCUUGUCUGCCUAGAAGCUCUAUUUCCUCUGCUUUUGUUUUUUCAACUGGCAUCUGUAAGAUCAGAUGGAGAUAUUUUGUCAUUUGCAUAAUUUAGAAACUUGUCCCUUGCCUGUGACCCUGAAUAAAAACGGAUGUCUUAAAAUUC